UCUACGGGAGGCAGCAGUGGGGAAUAUUGCGCAAUGGGCGAAAGCCUGACGCAGCGACGCCGCGUGAGGGAUGAAGGUCUUCGGAUCGUAAACCUCUGUCAGCAGGGAAGAAUGGUCACUGUGCUAAUCAGCAGUGAAUUGACGGUACCUGCAAAGGAAGCACCGGCUCACUCCGUGCCAGCAGCCGCGGUAAUACGGAGGGUGCGAGCGUUAAUCGGAAUUACUGGGCGUAAAGCGCUCGUAGGCGGUAUGUCAAGUCAAGGGUGAAAUCCCCGCGCUCAACGUGGGAACUGCCUUUGAAACUGGCAAACUGGAGUGUGUGGGAGGAUAGUGGAAUUCCAGGUGUAGGAGUGAAAUCCGUAGAUAUCUGGAGGAACAUCAGUGGCGAAGGCGACUAUCUGGCACAUAACUGACGCUGAGGAGCGAAAGCGUGGGUAGCAAACAGGAUUAGAUACCCCUGUAGUC
RNAcentral lists this ribosomal RNA (465 nucleotides) under uncultured bacterium. RNAcentral describes it as "partial 16S ribosomal RNA". It matches the Rfam family "Bacterial small subunit ribosomal RNA", at positions 338 to 795 of the family's 1533-position model. The record is from RNAcentral.